UACGUAGGGUGCAAGCGUUGUCCGGAAUUAUUGGGCGUAAAGAGCUCGUAGGUGGCUUGUCACGUCGGGUGUGAAAGCUUGGGGCUUAACUCCAGGUCUGCAUUCGAUACGGGCUGGCUAGAGGUAGGUAGGGGAGAACGGAAUUCCUGGUGUAGCGGUGAAAUGCGCAGAUAUCAGGAGGAACACCGGUGGCGAAGGCGGGUCUCUGGGCCGAUAUCGACGCUGAGGAGCGAAAGCGUGGGGAGCGAACAGG
This 253-nucleotide ribosomal RNA is filed under the name uncultured bacterium. RNAcentral's name for it is "partial 16S ribosomal RNA". It matches the Rfam family "Bacterial small subunit ribosomal RNA", at positions 524 to 776 of the family's 1533-position model. The record is from RNAcentral.